Molecule: long non-coding RNA, 1342 nt
Filed under: Phaseolus vulgaris (common bean)
Lineage: Eukaryota; Viridiplantae; Streptophyta; Magnoliopsida; Fabales; Fabaceae
Description: long non-coding RNA (PVUL_LNC002200)
Source: RNAcentral
UAAUUAAAUCUUAACAGCCCAACAUAUAACAUUUUCACCGAAAACAGUGGAGCGAGUUGGCAAAGUGUAAUCGGAGGAACGGUGCGGUAUCGAUUACCGAACGGCGGUUUUACGUUUUCCGGCGAGAUAGGUGAACGGAGAACUAACCUCGUUUUCUCAAACGAUUCGUUUGAUUCUGGCGGUAUUGUUUUCAGUAGUUUGCGGUUGUGAAAUUUCAUUCCUGUAGCUGGCAAUACAGAUGUUUGUUUCAAAAAAAAUUGAUCUCUGCUGGAAAUAAAAUUGGUAUUUUUGUGGAAAUAAUUGAAUGUUUGAAUGUGCUUGUUUUGUAAUUGGAAUGGGUUUAAACAUUUCUCCCAGCAGUUGGAGCUUUUGGCAAAAAAAAUUGCAGUUAAGGCAUUUGUUGCUGGAAUAAUUAAAUCAACAGUGUUACAGGGUAACCAAUUGGAGUGCAGUGUCGGUACUACUUAUAUUGCAAUUAGAGAUUAUUGGUGAUUUAAAAUUGUGUAUAUUUUUAUUUUUCAGCACACCAUCUGUUUGAUAAUUUGAUUCCAAUUCUAGAAUUGGUGCCGUUUUGUUGUUUCGGUACAGAAUUUUAAAGUUUGUUGUUGAUUUGCUGCUGGUUGUUUCAGUGCUGUUUAAUGAACUUAGGUGCAAAGUUUUACGGCAGAUUUCAUGGCUUUAAUCACUUGACUUUGAAUUUGUAAUUCCCAGUGCAGUAGCUAAAUUGGUACAGUAUUUCAGUUUUACGUUGGUACUAUGAAUGAUAGGUUUAAUUGCAAUGCUGAAUUGGAAUUAACAACAAUUUAGUAGAUUCUGGAACACAUUUAGUGUUUAAUUUGCUUUGAAGUUGCACUUUGGGUCAAAUUGAAAAGUCUGUGCAGAACCAGUGUAGUGAUGAGUUGAAUUAGUGCCAACAAUUACUCUUGUGAGGAUAAUGGUGUAGUGUUCAAGCGGCAAUUCAAUUUAAUUUAUUUAGAAAGCAAAUUCUGGUGGUGGCAAGGCAAUUGACGAUUGGUGCGGAUCCGCAAGAAGUAAUUUGGAAAUAGCAAAGUAUAGGUGGCUGCUGGAACAUUCAGUACCUGAAGUUGUUCAAUUUGGCAAGAAAUUAGCAUUCACAUGGCGGGUCUAUGGUUUACUUAAUAGUGCUUUUGAAGAUCUGAAUCUUGGCACACAAGCAGAAACGUGCAGUAUUGAAGGGUGAUUUUGGUGAAAGAAUUCAGCAAUUGAGGACUUUCUGUUGGGUCCGCGAGAUUGGUAUUAGAAAAGUGGAAACAUAUUCUGCCCAAUUGCACUUUGGGCCAAAACAUAUUGGACCAUCAUUUUGUUUUUGGUCUUAUGCUCC